This 495-nucleotide ribosomal RNA is filed under the name uncultured bacterium. RNAcentral describes it as "partial 16S ribosomal RNA". It matches the Rfam family "Bacterial small subunit ribosomal RNA", at positions 30 to 507 of the family's 1533-position model. The record is from RNAcentral.
UGAACGCUGGCGGCGUGCCUAAUACAUGCAAGUCGAGCGAACGGACGAGAAGCUUGCUUCUCUGAUGUUAGUGGCGGACGGGUGAGUAACACGUGGAUAACCUACCUAUAAGACUGGGAUAACUUCGGGAAACCGGAGCUAAUACCGGAUAAUAUUUUGAACCGCAUGGUUCAAAAGUGAAAGACGGUCUUGCUGUCACUUAUAGAUGGAUCCGCGCUGCAUUAGCUAGUUGGUAAGGUAACGGCUUACCAAGGCAACGAUGCAUAGCCGACCUGAGAGGGUGAUCGGCCACACUGGAACUGAGACACGGUCCAGACUCCUACGGGAGGCAGCAGUAGGGAAUCUUCCGCAAUGGGCGAAAGCCUGACGGAGCAACGCCGCGUGAGUGAUGAAGGUCUUCGGAUCGUAAAACUCUGUUAUUAGGGAAGAACAUAUGUGUAAGUAACUGUGCACAUCUUGACGGUACCUAAUCAGAAAGCCACGGCUAACUACGUG